GAUGAAGAACGUAGCGAAAUGCGAUACGUAAUGUGAAUUGCAGAAUUCAGUGAAUCAUCGAAUCUUUGAACGCAUAUUGCGCUCUCUGGUAUUCCGGAGAGCAUGCUAGUUUGAGUAUCAGUAAACACCUCAACUUCCAUAUCUUUUUUGAAAUGGGAGUUGGACUUGAGUGAUCCCAACGCUUUUCCUCACCGAAAAGUGGCGGGUUACUUGAAAUGCAGGUGCAGCUGGACUUUUCUCUGAGCUAUAAGCAUAUCUAUUUAGUCUGCCUAAAAAACAGAUUAUUACCUUUGCUGCAGCUAACAUAAAGGAGAUUAGUUCUUGUGCUGACUGAUGCAGGAUUCACAAAGACGGCUUCGGCCGACUUUGUAAACUCGAUCUCAAAUCAAGUAAGACUACCCGCUGAACUUAAGCAUAUCAUAAGCGGAGGA
RNAcentral lists this unclassified non-coding RNA (431 nucleotides) under soil metagenome. RNAcentral's name for it is "partial contains 5.8S ribosomal RNA, internal transcribed spacer 2, and large subunit ribosomal RNA". The stretch from base 1 to 120 matches the Rfam family "5.8S ribosomal RNA", at positions 35 to 154 of the family's 154-position model. The record is from RNAcentral.